Molecule: long non-coding RNA, 9042 nt
Filed under: Solanum tuberosum (potato)
Lineage: Eukaryota; Viridiplantae; Streptophyta; Magnoliopsida; Solanales; Solanaceae
Description: long non-coding RNA (STUB_LNC004074)
Source: RNAcentral
AAAGGCUUGGAUGAAUGGCGUCAAAGUCAACCUACUUCUGAGGAUGAUAGCUUAACCCAAUUGCCAGACGAUGAUGAAGCUUCAAUAUUGUCGAAGAAGAUUGGUGGAUUAAAGAAAGGUAAAGCACGCGUCCUUGGAUCAGAGCAUUGCGUAGGCUGUGUCACGUUUGGAUUUGCUUCUGCUUCUUUAAGUUCUGGGCAGAAUCAGGAAGAGAUAGAUUCAGAGAUAAAAUCAUUGCGGAUACAAGUACAAGAGCUAUUGAAAAAGCAAAAAGCAGACCGUUUAAGACUUGAUGGACUGGAGAAUCUAGUGGUUCAGCUCAUAGACAAUUGCCGAUCUGAAGAGUCUGACAAUGAUGAGUCUGAUGGAGAAAAAUAGUUUGUUGUGCUUUUGAUGUUGAAGCAAUACUUGUUUGAUUUCGUUUGGAUAUUACCUGAAUGGACCAUUCAAGGUCUUUGGAUGUUUUAGACUUGAUUUUGUAUGCUACUUGAAUGGUGUUUUGGAUGUUUUAGUUAUAAACGUUUAUGUUUAAUUGUUCGAAUUUUUGGAGAUUUGAUUGUUGGGCACAAACCAUUUAUGUUAUUAAGCAUAAAAGAGAGUGGUGGAAAAAAAAGUGUGUCACGGAAGAUAAAACAGGAUAAGUAACUAUUAUGUGAACAUUAAUAGUUAAUCAUUUUUCAAAUUUUCUUCAAUAAGCUCGAUAAGAUGGAAUUUUCUUAAGUUUAAACCUGAUUUACCAAUAAGAAAUACUUAAAACUUAUUGCACAAAUGACAAAAUACCAUAGACAAAAACUUUUCGCACUCUAUAUUUGUAUCAAACCACACUAAGUAUCAAAUAGCAAAUUGUACUGAAGCCGAAGCACCUGCCCAGUUUAGUAAGUUUUCUCCACUGCAUUACUAAGGAACAGAGGAAGAAGAAUACUACUACCAAAAUAAGCCAUUUCAGAAGAACAACACCAAACAAAAAAAAUCUUUUCGACAUUCCAAUGGAAAAAGUGCGCGAAAAUCGACGCUGCAUUUAUAAGUCAUUACCGACACAGAUUUCCGACGGCAGCCGUCGCAAAACUUAAAUAUAUAUUGGGAACAAAACCCUCAUUUUUUCUCAAUUAUCACUUCCUCGCCUCACUUUUUUUCUCUACUCUUUCCUUGGCGAUUCACCUCUUAGGACAGCCAAAUAAAGCCGUCCAGUAGCGCCGCCGUUGACGGCAGCACCACCGCUCAGUCGAGGUAAGUGGAUUUUUUCCUUCUUCCACAGUUUUUCUCCAGGUUUACUAUUUGUAUGAGAUUUUGAAUAGAUCUGGAUAGAUAUCACCAUUUUCUUCAAAGGUCCGUGUAGAAUUUUGCUUUGAUUAAGUUUUGUUCUUCUUUCUGGGUGUUGCUCAUAUGAAAAUAUUAACUUGAAUCGUUAUAGUCUCUCUGCUUUGACUACUUAACUUCCCAACUUUGUUUAUUGUAUUUAGCAUUAAUGAUUUUGGAACUUUGUUAAUUUUAUCUAACACAAAAGAUAUAACCAUCUAUGUAUUCUUUUCGGGGGAUUGAGCAGAAGAUGUUUGAUUACCCGGAAGGGUAGCUGAGUUCUUGUUCAAAACCCCCGGCUUAUUUAUGAUCAAAUGUAUCUAUGAAGAACUUAUCCUUCAGUCUUUACUUGUAGCUCAAAUCAACAAGAUUAUGAGGAAGAUACAUCCAUGCCACACAAGAAUGGAGAUUCAAUUGAUGAACAUAAAACAAGCGAGAAAUAAUUACUUGAUGAAAAUGAAACGAGCAAUAUAAAAAAUUUAAUGAUGAAUUUAAAGCAAGGGAAAAAUUAGUAUGUUAGUUUUUUUAUCUUCUUUAGUCAUAUAAUAGGUUGAAGAAGUAACAACUUUAUUAGUAUUCUUAAAUUAUUAUUAUUUUUAACUAUGCUUGUAUUAUUCAGAUGACAUCUCAGGAGAAUGAUCGUCCACAAAGUGCUAGUGCAGUGAAACGUAAAUCUAAGGGAAAGAAAAAAGUUUCUGAGACUACAGGUUACACUACCUCUCUACUUAUAUGCCUCUUACAUGUAUACAGGAAGUCUUUUUGAAUAACAAUCAUUUGAAAUGAUCAUUAAAAUCAUGCAUGACCACAACCUUUAAAUCAACAUCUUUUCGAUAAAUGAAAUGUUUUAUACAUGCAUGUCAUAUGAGAAAUCAUAAAUUACAACGCAAAAAGAAAAACUAUUGUCUAUGGAACUUCUAUAACGCAUAGUGAAAUAGUCAACCAAGACAGGCUCUAGUACUCAAAAGAAUGAAGUAAAUGUCUUUCUAAGAUGUGGAGAUCUUGCUCGAGCCUGAGUAAAGAAUGAAGUAAAUGUACUUAAAGAUUCUGAUAUUUCUUUAUGUCCACAAGGUAUGAAUGAAUUUUGCUUAUACCAUUUCAAUGCUUUUGCUAUUUUGGUCUUCCCCUUUGCGUGUUGCAUUGUCCAUUGAAAGAAAUUGGUCCAAGCAAUUGGCGUAACAUAACAUAACUGUGAUCAGUUGAGUAAUUUGGUCAAGAAACACCUAGCAUAAUGACACUUAACAAAUAUAUGAUCCCUUGUUUCAUCUUCCAGCUGGCAAAACAUACAUUUAGGAGUCGUUUGAGUGUAUAAGAAUAAUGCAAAAUAUAGUGUAUUAGUAAUGCUUGUAUUAGUUAUGAUUGCAUUAGUUAUGCUGAGAUUUUUCUUAUGUAGUGUUUGGUUUGAUGUACUAAAAAUAUCAUGCAUUGCAUAACUUUUUAAAAAAAUAUAUUUGUUUAUAAAAAUACCCUCCACAAAUAUAGUGGAGAGGAUGUGGAGAAGUUUUUAAGGGAUAAUUGUGCCUUUAAUCUUGCCAAUACAUGCAUUAGAACCCAUUGCAUUACAAUGCAUAGAAAUCCAUGGUAUUACUAAUACACUCCUCAAUACACAAUAGAGUGUAUUACUUAUACAAACAUUAGUUAUACAUAGGUUGAAAAAGUGUACCAAACAAGGUACUAGUAAUACCUAAAGCUAAUGCAUGCAUUAUUUUCUCCAAUACACUCUACCAAACGACCCCUUAGUCACCAAUCGAUCAAUUGUUAGCAGUCUUCCAUGGCAUUGCAAAUUCGCAACCACAUUGUGAAUUUUGCGUUGGAUUUUGCAUAAUUUUGAAACAUUAACCCUCUCCAAUUCAUUCUUGGGUUAUCUGGCAGUAGUUACGACUUACGAGUAGAUCUAGUGGAUUAGAUUUUUAUGGGCUAUGAACUGUGAACUUGUCCUUUAGGCACAUUGAACUAUCCCAAGGUCUUCUUGUCCUUGGGUGGACCCUUACAUACUUCAAGGCGAGAAUAAUUAUACUCUUAAGCUCAUAAUUUUUCUCACAUUAAUUAUCAAAAUUUAUGGAUCUUUACAGGUACACAGUGUCAAAAGUUUGUAGAGGUUGGAAUGCUGGAUGGUUUUGGGAAGCUAGUUAUCGCUCCUGCUGAGACUAAUGGGUAAACAAUACUUAUGUUAGUUUUUGGUUAUUGAAUAUAUGUUUUUACAUAUGUUAAAUUUAAUGCAGGUUUUUUCCCUCCAUCGAAUCUAUGAAUGUGAUUAUGGAUUCUAUAAAGUCAUUUUAUCUUGAUGCUUGGAGUUCCUGGGGCGAGAUACCUGUCUUUGACAGAGAGCAGAUGUGGAAUCACUUUAGGGUACAAAUAAAUCAUUUCUUUAUAUUAUUUAUCAAAUUACUUUUUUUUCAUCUAAUGUUAUUAAUUAUUUGCAGACGAAGUGUGCAUGGUAUCCCGAACAUGAUUAUAAGAUGUUUUGUAAUUUUGAGCUAAAUGCUAUGUAUAUGUUUAACGAUAUCUUGGAGAGUGCUUUGGAAAAGAGUCAGAAGCCCGAUUGGAUGCCAGAAGGUAUAUGGGCUAGUCUUGAUGAAAAGCGGACCCCUGCAAAAUUUCAAAAGACGAGCAUCGACGCAAAGGCACAACGGGCUUCCAACAAGGGUGACUCGUUGCACAUCGGGGGUUCAGCUAGUAUGGGGACUCAUCAAAGGAAAUCGGUAACUUGUUUAUUGAAUUUUCCUUGAUUUUUACUAAAUGCUGUUGAACUUUAACCAAGUCAUAUUUUUUGUUUUGCAGGAAAAGAAAAAGGGGAGAACUAUGACUUAUGAUAAGGUCUUAGAGGAGAAACAGGUGAAAAAGAAAAAGGAUGGUCAUGGUACUUUGGUGGAGCCACAUGUUGAGAGGACAAAUGUAAGAUCUUAGCCUCAGAGAUAUUAUCUUUUCCUUAACAUGAAUGUGUUUAUAAAUAUUGCUUAUCAUUCUUGUUUCAGGUUGGGUAUAAAAGAAGCUUGGAUGAAUGGCGUCAAAGUCAACCUACUUCUGAGGAUGAUAGCUCAAAACAAUCACCAGACGAGGAUAAAGCUUUAUUGUCGAAGAAGAUUGGUGGAGUAAAGAAACGUAAAGCAAGCAGCCUUGGAUCAGAGCAUUGCGUAGGGUGUAUCACGUAUGGAUAUACUGCUGCUUCUUUAAGUUCUCCGUUGAAACAGAAUGAGGAAGAGAUAGAUUCAUUGCGGAUACAAGUACAAGAGUUGUUGAAAAAGCAAAAGGCAGACCGUUUAAGACUUGCUGGACUGGAGAAUCUAGUGCGUCAUCUCUUAGACAAAUGCUGAUAUGAUGAGCCUGACGAUGAGUCUGAUAGGGUGAAUCAGUUUGUUGUGCUUGUGAUGUUGAAACAUUUACUUGUUUGAUUUCGUUGGGAUAUUACUUGAAUGGUGUCCAAAUGUCUAAACUUGCUUUUGCUUGUAGAUGCUACUUGAAUGGUGUUUUUAGACUUGCUUUUGGAUGUUACUUGAAUGGUGUUUGGAUGUUUUAGACUUGUUUUUGGAUGCUACUUGAAUGGUAUUUGGAUGUUUUAGUUAUAAACGUUUGUUUUUAAUUGUUGGAAUUUUAGGAGGUUUGAUUUUUGGGCACAGAGCAGAAAGAAUGAAAUAUAUUUUUAAAACUUGCUUUCCAUCCAAAAAUAUAUAUUGGUAAAUAUUUGUGUUGUUAAAAAAGCAUGUCAUUAAACAUAAAAUGGAUAACUUUUGGAGUAAAAUUUAUCCGCACCGCGUGUAUACACCAAGCCAAUACAUGUAUCCCAUGUGUUUAAAUUUAUAGUUCAUUUUGCUUAAUCAUAAUUAAUUAACAUGUGUUUUAUUCAUUAAAUCACGUAAUAAUAGAAAUUGCAUUAGUUUGGUGUAUACACCCUGUGCGGGUAAGUUUUUUCCUUAACUUUUGGUAAAAAAAAGUGUGUCAUGCAAGAUUAAAAAAACGCAAGUAAUUAUGUGAACAUUACUGGUUAAUCAUUUUUCAAAUUUACUUCUGAUCUUGAAAGAUCGAAUUUGCUAGGUUUAAACCUAAUUCACCAAUAAGAAAUAUUUGAAAUUUAUUGCACAAAUGGCAAAAACAUAUCCGCACUCUAUGUUUAUAUCAAAUUAUAUUGAUUUACUAUGAUUAAGUUAAAAUAUGUAUUACUCCGUAAUAAACUAUGAUGUAGUUAUAAGAGUAUAUGUGAAGCUAUGUGUCAUAUUCAUUGGAUUUGUGAGUAAUUUUCUUUAGAACACCUAAUAAGCACCAUUUAUGUUUCGCAUAAACUCUCCUCUCCCAAUUCUAAACUGUAGCAAGUAUCACAGAAAAUGCUCAUCAUAUAUAACUCCAGUACCUUUUUGUUGUCAAGUAUCCUGAUUCUACUUCAGCUUCAAGCUAAUAUUGACAAUUAUCACUCUUCUUUCCUGAAUAUGACACAUUUGCAUCGCCUAGAACCAAAAAAUAGUUAUUUGAUCCAUAAGUUAUAUUAUAACAUGAGGAUAUAAGAAACAGGUUUGGUCAGUCUAGUAUGUUAAUGAAUAUAAUGAUGUGAGUUUCGACAAUGGAAUUUUGGCAAGAAAUUAGGAACAGAGGAAGAAGAAUACUGGAGUACAAAAUAAGCCAUUUCAGAAGAACACCAAAUUAUAAACUUUUGAUAUUCCGACGGAAAAAAGCGACGUAAAGAUUGCGAAAAUCGAGGCUCAAUUUAUAAGUGAUUACCGACUCAAUUUUCCGACUUCAAGAGGUCGAAAAACUUAAAUUUAUAUUGGGAGCAAACCCUCAUUUCUCAACUCUCUCUUCCUCGCCUCACUUUUUUCCUCUACUCUUUCCUUGCCUAUUCACCUCUUACGACAGCCAAACAAAGCCGUCCACCGUUCACGGCGGCACCACCGUGCAGUUGAAGUAAGUGGAUUUUUUACUUGUUCCACAGUUUUCCUCCCACUUUUAAGGUUUAUUAGUAUUUGUAUGAGAUUUUGAAUAGAUCUGGAUAAAUAUCACCAUUUUCUUCAAAGGUCCGUCUAGAAUUUAGUUUUCUUCUCCUUUAUGGGUUUUGCUCAUAUGAAAAUAUUAACUUGAAUCCGACUAAUUAACUUCUGAACUUUGUUUAUUGCAUUUAGUAAUGAUUUUGAAACUUUGUUAAUUUUAUCUAAACACAAAAGAUAGAACCAUCUAUGUAUACUUUUCGGUUUUUUGAGCAGAAGAUGUUUGGAAGGGUAGCUGAGUGCAUGUUCACAAUUCCCGGCUUAUUUCUAAUCAAAUGUAUCUAUGAAGAACUUAUCAUUCAGUCAUUACUUGUAGCCCAAAUCAACAAGAUUAUGAGGAAGAUACAUCCUUGCCACACAAGAACGGAGCUUCAAUCCAUGAACAUAAAAUAUGCGAGAAAUAAUUACUUGAUGAAAAUGAAACUAGCAAUAUAAAAAGUUUAAUUAUCAAAUUAAAGCAAGGGAGAAACUUUUUUAUGUUCUUUAGUCAUAUCAUAUAAUAGAUUGAAGAAGCAACAACUUAAUUAGUAUUCAUAAUUUUUUUUUUAAUUUUAACUCUGCCUGUAUUAUACAGAUGGCAUCUCUGGAAAACGAUCGUCCACAAAGUACUAAUGUAGUGACACGUAAAUCCAAGGGAAAGAAAAAAGUUUCCGAGACCACAGGUUACACUACCUCUCCACUUGCAGGUCACACUACACUCUACUUAUAUGCCACUUACAUGUAUUCAGAAGUCUUUUCGAAAUACAAUCAUUUGAAUCAUGCAUGAACACAAUCUUUAAAUAUACCUGUCGAUAAGUGAACUGUUUUAUUCAUGCAUGUCAUAUGACAAAUCAUAAAUUACAAUGCAAAAAGAAAAACUGGUCUUUAUGGAUAUAACUCUUAGUGAGAUAGUCAACCAAUACAGGCUCUACUACUCAAAAGAAUGAAGUAAAUGUCUCUAUCUAAUUAUUAGUGUGGAGUCACACUAAAAGUAUUGAGGAGAUGUGGAGUUGUCCUAUUCGUGAGGCUCAUGCUGCUCGAGCUUUGCCCUCAAAGAUUCUGAUAUUUCUUUCUAUCCACAAGCUUUGCCCUCAGAGCUUUUUCUAUUUUGGUCUUCCCUUGUGUGUUACAUAAUCCAUUGAAAACAGUUGACAUAACAUAGUAUAACUGCAUCCAGCCAGUUGAGUAAUUUGAUCCAUAAACACCUAGCAUGAUGGCACUCAAGAAAUAUAUGAUCCCUUGUUUCACCUUCCAGCUGGCAAAACACAAAAUUAGUCACCAAUCGAUUGACUAUUAGCAGUCUGCAAUGGCAUUGCAAAUUCGCAGCCACAUUGUGAAUUUUUUAUUGAAUCUUGCAUAAUUCUGAAACAUUAAUCCUCUCCAAUUCAUUCUUGGAUUAUCUGGCUGUAGUUACAAGUAAAUAUGGUGGAUUAGACAUUUAUGGUCUAUGAAUUAUGAACUUGUCCCUUAGGCACAUUGAACUAUCCCAAUGUCAUUUUGUCCUUGUAUGGACCCUUAGUUAUCAAAAUUUAUGGAUCUUUACUGUUAAAGAUUGACAAAAGUCCCACAUCGGUGGUUAAUGAGAUGGGUGGACUCCUUAUAAGGCUUGGGCAAUCCUCCUCCCUUUGAGCUAGCUUUUGGGGUGUGAGUUAGGCCCAAGACCUAAUUUAACAUUUACAGGUACACAGAGUCAAAAUAUUGGAGAGGUUGGAACGCUGGAUGCUUCGCGGAGGCUGAUUAUCGCUCCUACUUAGACUAUUGGGUAAACGGUAGUACUUUUGUUAGUUUUUAGUUAUUGAAUAUAUGUUUUUACCUAUGUUAAAUUUAAUCCAGGUUUUUGCCCUCCACCCAAUCUCUAACUGCGAUUAUGGAUUCCAUUAAAUCAUUUUAUCGUGACACUUGGACUUCCUGGGGAGAGAUACCUGUGUAUGACAGAGAACAAAUGUGGAAUCACUUUAAGGUACAAAUAAGUCAAUUCUCUAUAUUGUCAUCAAAUUACUUUUUUACAUCUAUUGUUAGUAAUUUUUUGCAGACGAAUUGCACAUGGCAUCCCCAACAUGAUUAUGUAACAUUUUAUAAUUAUGGGAGAAUCGCUGCUUUUAUGCUUGAUGAUUGCUAGCGGUGUGCUCGGGAAAUGAGUCAGAAGCCCGAUUGGAUGCUAGAAGGUAUAUGGGCUAGACUUAAUGAAAAGUGGACCACUGAGAAAUUUCAAAAGACGAGCAUCCAACAUGUUGUGAAAAAUAAGAAGGAUGGUCGUAGUACUUUGGUCGAGCCAUAUGUUGAGACAAAUGUAAGAUCUUAGCUUCAGAGCUAUUAUUGUUUCCUUUCAUGAAUUUGUCUAUGUAUUACUAGUUUAUCGUUCAUGUUUCAGGUUGGGUUAAAUGAAUGGCGUCAAAGCCAACCUACUUCUGAGGAUGAUAGCUCAAACCAAUCGCCAGACGAUGAUGAAGCUUCAAUAUUGUCGAAGAAGAUUGGUGGAGUAAAGAAAAGUAAAGCAAGCGGCCUUGGAUCAGAGCAUUGCGUAGGCUGUAUCACGUAUGGAUAUACUGCUGCUUCUUUAAGUUCUCCGUUGAAACAGAAUGAGGAAGAGAUAGAUUCACUGCGGAUACAAGUACAAGAGCUGUUGAAAAAACAAAAAGCAAACCGUUUAAGACUUGCGGGAUUGGAGAAUCUAGUUCGUCAUCUCUUAGACGAAUGCUGAUAUGACGAGUCUGACGAUGAGUCUUGAUGGGGAGAAUUAGUUUGUUGUGCUUGUGAUGUUGAAACAUUUACUUGUUUGAUUUCGUUGGGAUACUAC